Long non-coding RNA from Clupea harengus (Atlantic herring), 815 nucleotides. The record is from Ensembl. NCBI's taxonomy places the organism in Eukaryota, Metazoa, Chordata, Actinopteri, Clupeiformes, Clupeidae.
GUCGGGUGGAGGGCGCACUGCAUCACUGUACUGCCUGUAAACGUGGAUACCACAAAGGAUGCCACAUACCGCCGCUAGUCACCAGACCCAGGCAGGGCUGGGUGUGUGGCCUGUGUUUGGACGUGUCGGUGGUGAGUCUGCAGGGCACUUUUGAAGGGGGAUUCUGUAUGAGCGCUCAGGACCAGAAGAGAUGUGAGUACGUACUGCUUUCCCUGUGUUGCAGUAAAUACAGGCCUGCUCUUUUCAUGACAAAUCAGCUGCCAAGUUCUUGUUCGUCUGCCGUUACGAACAUCCCGUUUAUUCGCGGCCGGUUGCUGCAGAAACUACCGCCUCCGUACCGCACCCCCACUGAGUUUGUGUCCGACAUCUGGAUCCUGCUAGAUCUCCUGCUCAAGAGGGCAAAGUGGAAGGCUGAGUGGGAGAAACAGCUGAAAGCUCUGCGGGUCAUCUUCUCCCAGAGGCUGCAGCGAGCCUUCAGUCACACCCUCCACCCAUCUGUCCUGCGCAACCCCUUCCGCCAGAGGCCAGGCAGAACGAGAGGGAAGGAGAGAGGGACGGAGAGAGGGACGGAAAGAGGGAAGGAGAGAGGGACGGAAAGAGGGAAGGAGAGAGUGGCGGAAAGAGGGAAGGAGAGAGUGGCGGAAAGAGGGAAGGAGAGGGGGGCGGACCGAGGGAAGGAGAGAGGGAUGGAGAGAGGGGUGGAAAGAGGGAAGGAGAGAGGGAUGGAGAGAGGGAAGGAGAGAGCGGUGGAAAAAGGGAAGGAGAGAGGGAUUGAGAGAGGGGCGGACCGAGGGUUGGAGAGAAGGAAAGAGAGA